UGAUAUUGUUCGGUAGACCGACGGUCCG
Molecule: small RNA, 28 nt
Filed under: Bombyx mori (domestic silkworm)
Lineage: Eukaryota; Metazoa; Arthropoda; Insecta; Lepidoptera; Bombycidae
Description: ovarian small RNA-32586
Source: RNAcentral